This 72-nucleotide transfer RNA is filed under the name Dipodomys ordii (Ord's kangaroo rat). It matches the Rfam family "tRNA". Rfam says of the family: Transfer RNA (tRNA) molecules are approximately 80 nucleotides in length. Their secondary structure includes four short double-helical elements and three loops (D, anti-codon, and T loops). Further hydrogen bonds mediate the characteristic L-shaped molecular structure. tRNAs have two regions of fundamental functional importance: the anti-codon, which is responsible for specific mRNA codon recognition, and the 3' end, to which the tRNAs corresponding amino acid is attached (by aminoacyl-tRNA synthetases). tRNAs cope with the degeneracy of the genetic code in two manners: having more than one tRNA (with a specific anti-codon) for a particular amino acid; and 'wobble' base-pairing, i.e. permitting non-standard base-pairing at the 3rd anti-codon position. Lineage: Eukaryota; Metazoa; Chordata; Mammalia; Rodentia; Heteromyidae. The record is from Rfam by way of RNAcentral.
UCCCUGGUGGUCUAGUGGCUAGGAUUUGGUGCUUUCACCGCCAUGGCCUGGGUUUGAUUCCCGGCUGGGAGA